GUAGGUGGCAAGCGUUAUCCGGAAUUAUUGGGCGUAAAGCGCGCGUAGGCGGUUUUUUAAGUCUGAUGUGAAAGCCCACGGCUCAACCGUGGAGGGUCAUUGGAAACUGGAAAACUUGAGUGCAGAAGAGGAAAGUGGAAUUCCAUGUGUAGCGGUGAAAUGCGCAGAGAUAUGGAGGAACACCAGUGGCGAAGGCGACUUUCUGGUCUGUAACUGACGCUGAUGUGCGAAAGCGUGGGGAUCAAACAGGAUUAGAUACCCUGGUAGUCCACGCCGUAAACGAUGAGUGCUAAGUGUUAGGGGGGUUUCCGCCCCCCUUAGUGCUGCAGCUAACGCAUUAAGCACUCCGCCUGGGAGUACGACCGCAAGGUUG
This 373-nucleotide ribosomal RNA is filed under the name uncultured organism. Its description in RNAcentral is "partial 16S ribosomal RNA". It matches the Rfam family "Bacterial small subunit ribosomal RNA", at positions 527 to 896 of the family's 1533-position model. The record is from RNAcentral.